GAUGAACGCUGGCGGCGUGCCUAAUACAUGCAAGUCGAACGCUGGAAAUCUAGCUUGCUAGAUUGAAGGAGUGGCGAACGGGUGAGUAAUACAUAAGCAACCUACCCACGAAGACUGGGAUAAUCUCUGGAAACGGGGACUAAUACCGGAUAGGUAAUCGGAAGGCAUCUUCUGAUUAUUAAAGGUUAAAAACACUGGUGGAUGGGCUUAUGGCGCAUUAGUUAGUUGGUGAGGUAACGGCCCACCAAGACGAUGAUGCGUAGCCGGCCUGAGAGGGUGAACGGCCACAUUGGGACUGAGACACGGCCCAGACUCCUACGGGAGGAAGCAGUAGGGAAUUUUCGGCAAUGGGGGAAACCCUGACCGAGCAACGCCGCGUGAGUGAGGACGGCCUUCGGGGUGUAAAGCUCUGUUGUAAGGGAAGAACGGUAGAUAGAGAAUAUCUAAAUGACGGUACCUUACCAGAAAGCCACGGCUAACUACGUG
Molecule: ribosomal RNA, 486 nt
Filed under: uncultured bacterium
Lineage: Bacteria
Description: partial 16S ribosomal RNA
Rfam family: Bacterial small subunit ribosomal RNA
Source: RNAcentral